AUCAGAAGUUGAACGCAAAGGCGGCGUCGCGCGCACCGGAGACCCGGCAGUUUUCCGCGUAACCGCUCGGAGUUUCCCCGCGAGCGCAAGAGGAACCCGGUAUCUUGCGCAGAAUGAAUGGUUAUUAAGGCGCCAGAGAGAGAGAGAGAGAGCGAGAAAGGGGCGAUGUUGAGAGUCUGGUUCUUCUGGUGACUUCACAAGGACGGAUAAAGGUCAGGACGUCAAGAUGACAGUAUUUUGUCUGCGGCACAUCACGAUGAGAAGAUCUUUCAGUUUGCCGCAAGGUAAUUGCUCUCCUUCAGGGCGGGUGAAGCUGUUUAUUGUAAUUAUGUCAGCGAAAUGAAGAAGCAUGCUUGCGUG
Molecule: long non-coding RNA, 360 nt
Organism: Misgurnus anguillicaudatus (oriental weatherfish)
Lineage: Eukaryota; Metazoa; Chordata; Actinopteri; Cypriniformes; Cobitidae
Source: RefSeq, a predicted model, not a curated record